UAUUUAGGUCAUUAAAAUUUUUUAACAAUGAAGGUAAAAAAAAUUAUGACCAAAUUUUUUAUCACUAAAAACCUAAAUUCUUAUAAUGAUAAUACAUCUAGUAUGUUAUGGUACGAUGGAUAUGUCAAACCAUGGCUAAGACUAUAAUUAAGUAGCAACUGAAAUUAUGAUUAUCAUUGAUUUGUAAACCCAUCUACUUAAUAAUUAUUAAGCAUACAAAAAGGCACUUUUUUCCUAGAAUAUAGCUAUUGUAUUUACAUGAACAUGCUCUAGAACAUCAAAUAGGACAUGUAUCUUGGAACAGUAAAUUGCCAUUCAUAUUUCACCACAAAACAACCAUUCAUCACAUACACAAAGAAAUUUUAGAAAAAUAAUAGGAACAAGAAUAAUUUAUUACAGCAGUUCCAGACUAACGCUGUGGAUCUUCGGAUAUUUUGACUGCACGUUAUUUGAAUAUGGAAAAUUGGAAGAUACGCAUAUGCUAUAUAUGGUAAACUUAUUUUAUUUUGAAAUUUAUAGCUCCACACCUGUUUGUUAUUACUUGAAUCUCUUCGGCUUGGAGACGGUUUCCUUGAAGAAUCCCCAUCACAUGCUGGCAUUUCAUUUCCAAACUGCAAAAUCACAAAUUUGUUAGCAAGGAAUAUUAUCAAAAGAAUAUUAAGACUUCUUCUUCUUCUUCUUCUUCUUCUUCUUGUGAGCAAGUAUUUAGAGACCAAUUCUUAAUUUCUUUCAAGGUUGCCCUCAUUUAAACAUGAUAAAAAAAAAAAAUCCCCUUUUUGUCAAGAUUGCUGACUGCAUACUAAGUUUUUGGUAAUAUAUCUACUCAUAGGUGCCAUUAUUUUCACCACAGCAUGAUCAAUUUCACUUCACCGACGCAUAAAAAUAUCAAAUACAUAUAUAUAUAUAUAUAGAACUUCUCGUCAAAUAAGAACUACAGGGGUAGCAAGAAGAGAGAACUUCCAACUCCUAGCAUGCAUGUAACCAUUAAUUCCUUGGAAAAAUCAAAAGGAGUUCACCAAUCUGUAAUUUAAAAAUUAAAAAGAAGGAAAACUCAAAUGGAGAAAUAAAUUAACCAUAAUAUGUACAAAGAACAAGAGAUUAGAAGCAGCAGCAGCACCUUUCCAAUCUCUCCACUCUCUUCUUCCCCGACACAUUUGACAUCUGUCUCCUCUUUGACAGCAACAUUUUCCUUGAGCAUCACCUCCAUUAAAGACCAACCAGGGUCACCUUUCCUUCCCUCCUCUUGAUGAAACUUUGAUGUCCUUCUUUGGCUUUUGUCCUUUCAAUCCACCCCCUAUAUAGAGAAGCCUUCUAACUUUGACCGGCAUUAAGAAUUGAAAUCCAAGUGCUUAUCUCUCUUAGGUUCGAAACAUCAAAAGG
This 1380-nucleotide long non-coding RNA is filed under the name Elaeis guineensis (African oil palm). RNAcentral's name for it is "long non-coding RNA (EGUI_LNC015854)". The record is from RNAcentral. Lineage: Eukaryota; Viridiplantae; Streptophyta; Magnoliopsida; Arecales; Arecaceae.